AUGCGUGCGUACCUCGACCUGCUUCUGCAGGGACUGGACGUAGUUAAUGAUCUCGUCGAGCAUGCCGGCCUUGCCAGUGACCUUGUCGCACCCGGGCACCAGCUCCUGCAGGUACCUCAUCCGCUCGCUGAUCCGCUCCCGCCUCACCUGCAUCAUAUGCGCAACAAGAUCAAAUUGGGUCAUACAUGUCGUUACACAAGGUUUAAUUGCUGUUUGUACUACUAUCGAUCUAUAAUCUAUAUACCCGUUCGGCGAGGCUGUGGCUGUCCGUGGCCUGCCCGCGCCGGGCUCGGACGUGGAUGUAGUCGGUCUUCUGGCCGGUGGCCGCCGCCUCCGGCUUCUUCCUGGCGCACGCCUUGGGUUUCUCCGGCCUGCCUUUCGCCGCUCCUUCAGCCUCGCCAGGGUCGCACAGCUGCUGCUUCCCUCUCGGCCUCUUGCAGUCGUCCUGGCAAAGGUUUUUUGUUAGUCAAAGAAGAGCACACCAAUAAGCAGAGCGCAGCUCGAGGCUCACGCAGAGACAGAGGCUCGCAGCGCAUGCACAAAAACAUCGUCCGACUCACCUUUGCGUCCACAUACGCGUCAGGUUUUCUCUUCGUGGACCCGUCGCCGCUGCUGGCGCUACCGCUGCAGGAGAAGGAGUUGCCGGCGCCGUUGCUGCUGCCCGGUGGUGGUGGCGCGCCGAAGGCCGCGUAG
Molecule: ribosomal RNA, 693 nt
Filed under: Triticum aestivum (bread wheat)
Lineage: Eukaryota; Viridiplantae; Streptophyta; Magnoliopsida; Poales; Poaceae
Description: partial small subunit ribosomal RNA
Source: RNAcentral